GAGUAAUGCUUGGGAACAUGCCUUGAGGUGGGGGACAACAGUUGGAAACGACUGCUAAUACCGCAUAAUGUCUACGGACCAAAGGGGGCUUCGGCUCUCGCCUUUAGAUUGGCCCAAGUGGGAUUAGCUAGUUGGUGAGGUAAUGGCUCACCAAGGCAACGAUCCCUAGCUGGUUUGAGAGGAUGAUCAGCCACACUGGGACUGAGACACGGCCCAGACUCCUACGGGAGGCAGCAGUGGGGAAUAUUGCACAAUGGGCGCAAGCCUGAUGCAGCCAUGCCGCGUGUGUGAAGAAGGCCUUCGGGUUGUAAAGCACUUUCAGUCAGGAGGAAAGGUUAGUAGUUAAUACCUGCUAGCUGUGACGUUACUGACAGAAGAAGCACCGGCUAACUCCGUGCCAGCAGCCGCGGUAAUACGGAGGGUGCGAGCGUUAAUCGGAAUUACUGGGCGUAAAGCGUACGCAGGCGGUUUGUUAAGCGAGAUGUGAAAGCCCCGGGCUCAACCUGGGAACUGCAUUUCGAACUG
RNAcentral lists this ribosomal RNA (525 nucleotides) under Pseudoalteromonas sp. WH009174s. RNAcentral describes it as "bacterial SSU rRNA". It matches the Rfam family "Bacterial small subunit ribosomal RNA", at positions 108 to 635 of the family's 1533-position model. Lineage: Bacteria; Pseudomonadati; Pseudomonadota; Gammaproteobacteria; Alteromonadales; Pseudoalteromonadaceae. The record is from RNAcentral.